This 466-nucleotide ribosomal RNA is filed under the name uncultured ammonia-oxidizing beta proteobacterium. RNAcentral's name for it is "bacterial SSU rRNA". It matches the Rfam family "Bacterial small subunit ribosomal RNA", at positions 198 to 645 of the family's 1533-position model. The record is from RNAcentral. Lineage: Bacteria; Pseudomonadati; Pseudomonadota; Betaproteobacteria.
GGAGGAAAGUAGGGGAUCGCAAGACCUUGCGCUUUUGGAGUGGCCGAUGCCUGAUUAGCUAGUUGGUGGGGUAAUGGCCUACCAAGGCGACGAUCAGUAGUUGGUCUGAGAGGACGACCAGCCACACUGGGACUGAGACACGGCCCAGACUCCUACGGGAGGCAGCAGUGGGGAAUUUUGGACAAUGGGCGAAAGCCCGAUCCAGCAAUGCCGCGUGAGUGAAGAAGGCCUUCGGGUUGUAAAGCUCUUUCAGUCGAGAAGAAAAGGUCGCGACUAAUAAUCGCGACUCAUGACGGUAUCGACAGAAGAAGCACCGGCUAACUACGUGCCAGCAGCCGCGGUAAUACGUAGGGUGCGAGCGUUAAUCGGAAUUACUGGGCGUAAAGGGUGCGCAGGCGGCUUUGUAAGUCAGAUGUGAAAUCCCCGGGCUUAACCUGGGAAUUGCGUUUGAAACUACAAAGCUAGA